CAGUCGCCGCGGUAAUACGAAGGGUGCAAGCGUUAAUCGGAAUUACUGGGCGUAAAGCGUGCGUAGGCGGUGAGUUAAGUCUGCUGUGAAAUCCCCGGGCUCAACCUGGGAAUGGCAGUGGAUACUGGCUCGCUAGAGUGUGUCAGAGGAUGGUGGAAUUCCCGGUGUAGCGGUGAAAUGCGUAGAGAUCGGGAGGAACAUCAGUGGCGAAGGCGGCCAUCUGGGACAACACUGACGCUGAGGCACGAAGGCGUGGGGAGCAAACAGGAUUAGAUACCCGCGUAGUCCCUGUCUCUUAUAC
RNAcentral lists this ribosomal RNA (301 nucleotides) under uncultured bacterium. Its description in RNAcentral is "partial 16S ribosomal RNA". It matches the Rfam family "Bacterial small subunit ribosomal RNA", at positions 509 to 807 of the family's 1533-position model. The record is from RNAcentral.